GUUUGAUGGAAGACAGG
RNAcentral lists this unclassified non-coding RNA (17 nucleotides) under Mus musculus (house mouse). RNAcentral describes it as "oocyte_clustered_small_RNA8427". The record is from RNAcentral. Lineage: Eukaryota; Metazoa; Chordata; Mammalia; Rodentia; Muridae.